This is a long non-coding RNA of Cyanistes caeruleus (blue tit), 1824 nucleotides long. The record is from Ensembl. NCBI's taxonomy places the organism in Eukaryota, Metazoa, Chordata, Aves, Passeriformes, Paridae.
CCAUCCUGGGAUUUGGGAUUGGAAUUUUCAUCCUGGGAUUUGGGAUUGGAAUUCCCAUUCCGGGAUUUGGGAUUGAAAUUCCCGUUCCGGGAUUUGGGAUUGGGAUUCGCAUUCCGGGAUUUGGGAUUGGAAUUCUCAUCCCUGGGAUUAUUUGGGAUUGGAAUUCCCAUUCCGGGAUUUGGGAUUGGGAUUCCCAUCCCUGGGAUUAUUUGGGAUUCUCAUCCCGGGAUUUGGGAUUGGAAUUCUCAUCCCGGGAUUUGGAAUUCUCAUCCCUUCCAUGGGUUUGGGUUUGGAAUUCCCAUCCCUGGGAUUAUUUGGGAUCCUCAUCUUUUCCAUGGAUCUGGGCUUGGAAUUCCCAUCCCUGGAUCUGGGAUUGGAAUUCCCAUCCCAUCCAUGGAUUUAUUUGGGAUUCCUGGAGUCUCAUCCCUGGAUGGGAUCCCCGGAUUCCGUCCUGAUCCCAUCCCAAAUUCCCAAUAUUUGGGUUUGGGAUUGGAAUUCCCAUCCCGGGAUUUAUUUGGGAUUCCUGGAGUCUCAUCCCGGAAUUUGGGCUUGGAAUUCUCAUCCCAUCCCUGGGUUUGGGAUUCCCACAUUUCCGUCCUCCCAUCCCUGGGAUUAUUUAGGAUUCCUGGAUUCCAUCCCGAUCCCAUCCCAGUGAUUUGUGAUUCCCAUCCCGGAACUUGGGGUUGGAAUUCUCCUCCCAUCCCGGGAUUUAUUUGGGAUCCUCGUCUUUUCCAUGGAUUUGGGUUUGGAAUUCUCCUCCCAUCCCUGGAAUUCCGGGAGCUCUGCCCCUCCCUGCCCUUGAUCCCAUUCCUGGAAAAUUCCCGGGAAAUUCUGCUGCUGCUUUCCAACGCGGAAUUCCAUAAAUCCACCAAAUCCUGGGAUUUUCCCCCUUUUCCCCCCCCCUCCUCCUCAUCCCGGGAUUUUCCGUGUCCUGCAGCUCCAAAAUCCCGGGAUUCUGCUCCCAAACACCCCCAGGGCUCGGAAUUCCCAGAAUUCCCAGAAUUCCCAGAAUUCCCGGAGCCCAAACUCAUCCCGAGUUCCACCCGGAAUUUUUUUGGGGGGAAUUUCCCACCCAAUUUUGGCCCUUCCCAAAUCCCGGGAAUCUCCGUCAUUCCCAACUCCGGGAUUUUCCCUUCGAAUCCUUCCCUUUCCACCCAAAAUCUGGGAUCACGGAGCCGGAAAAAAAAACACCCCAAAAACCCCUGGAUUUUCCCAAAAUUCCCACAAAAAAUUCCCACAAAAAAUUCCCGCCAAAAAUUCCCGCCAAAAAUUCCCGGAUAUCCGCUGGAAAUUAUUUGGGAUGAAAUUCCUUCAAAAUCCUUUCCCCUCAAAGAAAAAAAAAUCCUGGAUUGCAGAGCCGGGAAAAACCAGCUGGAAUUCCCAAAAAAUCCUACAAAAUUCCCAAAAUAUCCCAAAUAUCUGUUGGAAUUCGAAUUUUUUUUGGAAUUCCCCCUUCAAAAUCCUUCCGUUCCCACCCAAAACUUGGCUCGAAAACCCCAGGAAUUUCCCCAAAUUCCCACCAAAAAAAAAACCCCGGAAUUCUUUUCCCGGGAAUUUCUUUUUUCCGGCGAUUCCGCGUUUUUUCCGGAGCGAGAAAUCGACGGAAUUCCCGGGAUUCCAUCGGAUUCUUCCCAUCCUUGGAAUGUUUGGAUCCCGUUUUCCGGAGAUUGGGAAUGGGACAACCAACCAACCAAUUUCAAAAUAUGCAAAUUGUAUGCAAAUGAUAUGCAAAUGAUAUGCAAAUGAUGUGCAAAAUGGCAUGCAAAUUGUAUGCAAAUGAGCGAUCGAAAUAAAGUUUCUCUCUCUCUUUUUUUUUUUUAUUGC